CGCUGGCGGCGUGCCUAACACAUGCAAGUCGAACGAAGCUUGACGAACGAUUCUUCGGAUGAAUUCUGAUAUGACUGAGUGGCGGACGGGUGAGUAACGCGUGAGCAACCUGCCCUUCAGAGGGGGAUAGUGUCUGGAAACGGACAGUAAUACCGCAUAAUGUACAUUGAUGGCAUCUUCGAUGUACCAAAGCUUUUGCGCUGAAGGAUGGGCUCGCGUCUGAUUAGAUAGUUGGUGGGGUAACGGCCCACCAAGGCGACGAUCAGUAGGGGUUCUGAGAGGAAGGUCCCCCACAUUGGAACUGAGACACGGUCCAAACUCCUACGGGAGGCAGCAGUGAGGAAUAUUGGUCAAUGGACGAGAGUCUGAACCAGCCAAGUAGCGUGCAGGAUGACGGCCCUAUGGGUUGUAAACUGCUUUUAUAAGGGAAUAAAGUGAGUCUCGUGAGACUUUUUGCAUGUACCUUAUGAAUAAGGACCGGCUAAUUCCGUG
RNAcentral lists this ribosomal RNA (492 nucleotides) under uncultured bacterium. Its description in RNAcentral is "bacterial SSU rRNA". It matches the Rfam family "Bacterial small subunit ribosomal RNA", at positions 34 to 507 of the family's 1533-position model. The record is from RNAcentral.